UAAUUAACUCGCUGUCUGCAGGGGCUCGCUGGUGGCUAAUUGUCCUUAUCUAAAGUGUGGGGCGCUCUGCCUUUUUUUGCAAUGUUUUGGUGCUGGUGGAGGGGAACUCACGCCCCUGACCAGCCUUUCUCGCAGCCGGUGCCAAGACUCCUUGCAGCCAGCACCGCCCCUUUAAGAGAUGCAGGCUCCAGACAUUUUUAACUUUUUGAAGGUAAGGGGAGGCUCCUGGUUUAACCCCCUCGGCUCGGGGCCCGCCGGCCCGCCAAGACGCCGCCAGCACCGAGCUUUCGCUUUGACCCGGCUCCGCCGCGCACCGGCGGCCGCUUUCCGCCGCGGGAGCUCCCGGAGCGCGCAGAACCGGGCCGUAGCCGGGACACCGAGACACCGGAGAGCUCGGCACCGGGACCGGAGCGCAGCCGCCCAGCGCUGUAAGCAGGAGCAGUCCCCCAGUGGCUCCUCGCCCCUUUCUGGAGGACCAGCGGACACCAGACCCCCUGGGCUCUCCUCCACCAGGAAGGAAGCGAAUUGCAGCCCGCAGCCUCUGGGACUCUGACUUCAGACCUCAAAGUCAAGUUGAUCUGAAGGGGCUUUACCAAACUCCCCAUAUCCAUGCUUCACUCCGUCCUCCCGGACCUGCACUGUCAGAGCUGGAGGAGGACAGCUGUGAUCAGGGGUAUCCCCACAGGCAGGGGUUGUGGACCUUGAGAGCUGCGGCACAGAAGCUGCAGAGGGAGAAGGUCAUUAUUGCUAAUUGAACAGCAAUGUCGCAACAGAGAACAGGUAAAAGGAGGAGACUGUAGUGUUCGAAGAAAAUGAGGGCAGCCACAUGGUGCUCACCGAAGGACUCAAGAGGCAGGAUGCAGCCAGGACAGGCCUCAGUGAGAGCCUUGGAAAUUUAUGUCAUACUUUGCCAAGGACUCAAUCAAUUGAGCAUGUGCUAAAGCUCAGUUUGUUUUGUCUUAUUUUGAGCUUUGGAAGAUAUUUCCUAUCUUGAAUCAUUGAACAUGCUCCAGCCACACACCUGCAACUUCUGGAGUGCAUCCUCUCGGCGAGAGGCUGGCUAGCACGUCGUCACUUGUGCAGGUCAAAUCCUACUGAAAGCACAUCAGACCACAGCUUUCGCACCAGUUUACUUUUACAUGGAGCACAUGUAAGCUAACAUCUGGCAGGAAC
RNAcentral lists this long non-coding RNA (1173 nucleotides) under Anas platyrhynchos (mallard). Its description in RNAcentral is "lncRNA (ENSAPLG00020006402.1)". The record is from RNAcentral. Lineage: Eukaryota; Metazoa; Chordata; Aves; Anseriformes; Anatidae.